ACGGAUAUAGUUCAAAGGUAGAACUACGGACUCCAAACCCGUUCAUGUGCGUUCGAAUCGCGCUAUCCGUA
RNAcentral lists this transfer RNA (71 nucleotides) under Chitinophagales bacterium. RNAcentral describes it as "tRNA-Trp". It matches the Rfam family "tRNA". From Rfam's summary of the family: Transfer RNA (tRNA) molecules are approximately 80 nucleotides in length. Their secondary structure includes four short double-helical elements and three loops (D, anti-codon, and T loops). The record is from RNAcentral. Lineage: Bacteria; Pseudomonadati; Bacteroidota; Chitinophagia; Chitinophagales.